UUUAUUUUGAAAUUGUAAACAAAAUGUAAACAAUUUAUAUAUAUACAUAUAUAUUUGUUCAUACUAUAUAUCAUAUUAUUUAGAGAAUGUUCACAUAUAUUAGAAUAGUGAUUUGAAUUUUGAAUUAAUAAAUAUUUUUUUUUACUCUACAACCGCUUAAUUCUUGAAGUUAUUAGACACCUAUUUUACAAUCGCGUACGUUCGCGCACUUUUCGGUUAUUUAUGAGAGAGAGUUGAAAUAUAUAUUUAAGGAGAAGAUACUUAAAAUAUAAAUUUCAAAAUUUUGUUUUAUUAUUAUAAAAGAAUAAAGGCUAAUAGUAAGAGUACUUGUAAAAUUGUUAAUAUAGUGAAUAAGAUGAUAAAUUGUAAAUUUCGUUUUGUAAAAUGCAUCUAUCCCUAAGGGGAUGGAUCAUUUUCGAAAGCGUGGAGUAUAUGUGGGAUCGAAAAAUAUCCCCCUUUUUUAUAUAUUUAUAUAACGACGCAAAUAAGUUGAAAUCCGACGACAUAGAAGAUACAGAGAGAGGAUAUGUCGAUUGUGUAAGAGACAAUAACAGCCGUUCUGGGAGAAAAGGUGAAGGAGAGGGCAGCGCUAUAUAAGAGCGAAGCUGGACAAAGGUCCUGGCUUGUGUUCCGGCCGAGUGAC
Molecule: long non-coding RNA, 643 nt
Filed under: Androctonus crassicauda
Lineage: Eukaryota; Metazoa; Arthropoda; Arachnida; Scorpiones; Buthidae
Source: RNAcentral